This 274-nucleotide unclassified non-coding RNA is filed under the name Hevea brasiliensis (rubber tree). Lineage: Eukaryota; Viridiplantae; Streptophyta; Magnoliopsida; Malpighiales; Euphorbiaceae. The record is from RNAcentral.
GGAUACACUUGAAUUACUUCCGUGUAAAACGUUGCCAUCUGAUACAGAUCUUUUGAUAAAUGACCUCUUAUUUUCAUCGGCAAAGCCAUGGACGUGCCUUUCAAGAUUGUCAUGUUGAUCUGUACUCAGGUCCCAAAGAGCUGGCUUGCCCAGUUGGGGCUCAAAGUGCCCAAGGAACAAAUUUAUUGCAUCCUGUUUUUCAGCAUCCAUAUAGGCAUUGCUAUAGUAUCUUUGAAGUGUCCUGAAAAACUCCUGAGACUGAGUUGCUGCUUUC